RNAcentral lists this transfer RNA (87 nucleotides) under Deltaproteobacteria bacterium. RNAcentral describes it as "tRNA-Leu". It matches the Rfam family "tRNA". Rfam says of the family: Transfer RNA (tRNA) molecules are approximately 80 nucleotides in length. Their secondary structure includes four short double-helical elements and three loops (D, anti-codon, and T loops). Lineage: Bacteria; Pseudomonadati; Myxococcota; Myxococcia. The record is from RNAcentral. RNAcentral also lists the same sequence under 2 other names.
GCCUGGGUGGCGGAACUGGUAGACGCAAGGGACUUAAAAUCCCUCGGGGCUUGCCCCGUGCGAGUUCGAUUCUCGCCCUAGGCACCA